UACGUAGGGUGCAAGCGUUGUCCGGAAUUAUUGGGCGUAAAGAGCUCGUAGGCGGUUUGUCGCGUCUGCUGUGAAAAUCCAGGGCUUAACCCUGGACCUGCAGUGGGUACGGGCAGACUGGAGUGCGGUAGGGGAGAUCGGAAUUCCUGGUGUAGCGGUGAAAUGCGCAGAUAUCAGGAAGAACACCCGUGGCGAAGGCGGCUCUCUGGUACGUGACUGACGCUGAGACGCGAAAGCGUGGGGAGCAAACAGG
This 253-nucleotide ribosomal RNA is filed under the name uncultured bacterium. RNAcentral's name for it is "partial 16S ribosomal RNA". It matches the Rfam family "Bacterial small subunit ribosomal RNA", at positions 524 to 776 of the family's 1533-position model. The record is from RNAcentral.